CUGUUAGGGACUGAGGUAAAAUUAACUGGCUGAAGGAAUGGGAAUAAUUAAAAUGUACUCGUGCAGUCUGCAAAUGUUAUUUCCCUGCAACUCCCCAAAUCCACCCAGGGCAAAGAUCUCAUUGGUGGGCCCCCUGGGGCAGCCUCAAGGCAUGUGUGGUAGUGUUACCUUCAAGCAGGUGAACUAGGAUAUAGGAAUGGGACAGUGCCACUGAUCUUCCCCUAUCUGCUCUACAGGACUUGCACCCAAUGCCCCUAAAGCACCCAGCCGGAGCCUGGCUUCAUCAGGUGGGCAAAAGGAACAGGGGAACAAGAAAAUUGUGAGACGGCAGUGGGAGACCUGGAGCACAGAGAAUAAGAACACAUUCUUUGAGGCGCUUUUUGAAGUGAGCAGAACUGCCAGUUGCUGGUUGGUCAUUGUGGGCUGUUUGAUCAUAUCAGAGGUACUGGUACAAAGGGUACUGCCCCAAUAACCCAACAGUGCUGGGUGCAGCUUAAGGGCAGUGGCAAACAGGGAGAUUAGUCGCCUCGUGACAAAUCUUUGUUGCCGCGGGCAACUAAUCUCCCCACAAUGCCAUCCCACUGGCUAGAAUGUGAAUCGCCGGUGGGAUGGCAUACGCGUCCAGGGCAGUGCUUUUACCCCCGGUAUGGAAUCCCUUAUCCAGAAACCUGAACCCAACCAGGAAAGCUUUGAAUUACAGAAAGAACAUCUCCCAUAGAAUUUAUUUUAAGCCAAUAAUUACACCAAUAAUUCUAAUUCCACUCACGCUAUAUUCUUAUAGGCAAAUAUACCACUUUCCUUAGCAGGGGAUUUCCCUUUAAUAUAUUGCUAUUCAACAGAUGAUAAAGUACAAAGGCUUAGCAUAUUUUUCUUUCACUUUAUAUGGAUGGAUGCUGCCAGUAUGCUUUUCUUACUUCAGGAAUUCUCUAUAGAUACGAGCCUAUCACUAUUCCAUUUAUAGAAUAAGAAUAAGAGGGUACCCAACGUGUUUCAGCCCAACCUACGGGGUCUUUGUCAGUCACAGUGACGAUGAAGCACUGUUUUAACAUACCCCAUUUCUAAAAGAUACUUGAAAUUACAUCCUCUAUACAGCCUUUGAUUUUCAGCUUGGAGCAGUCUGAUCAAAAAUAAUUGACAACUGGAUGCUUAUUGCCAGCUUAUUGCCAGCCCAUGCCGAUAAACCCCAGCUUCCUUUCUUGCUCUCUAUAUUAUUAGUUGGUUGGUUUUUUUUGUAAUUAUUUUAACUUAAGAUGACAACAAAGCAAGUUCUUUAUUGAUUUAUCUUAAUACCAAGAUGUCCACUGCUGAAUCCUUGGAGGGAAGAUACCCUGCAUUUUUCAGUUGAUAAUUGUUUUUUUUUCAGUUUAAUAUUAAACUGGUGCAGACAGUGCCACGCCAUAUA
Molecule: long non-coding RNA, 1402 nt
Organism: Xenopus tropicalis (tropical clawed frog)
Lineage: Eukaryota; Metazoa; Chordata; Amphibia; Anura; Pipidae
Exons: 2
Source: RefSeq, a predicted model, not a curated record